This 76-nucleotide transfer RNA is filed under the name Mycoplasma todarodis. RNAcentral's name for it is "tRNA-Thr(ggt)". It matches the Rfam family "tRNA". From Rfam's summary of the family: Transfer RNA (tRNA) molecules are approximately 80 nucleotides in length. Their secondary structure includes four short double-helical elements and three loops (D, anti-codon, and T loops). Lineage: Bacteria; Bacillati; Mycoplasmatota; Mollicutes; Mycoplasmatales; Mycoplasmataceae. The record is from RNAcentral.
GCCGUCUUAGCUCAGUAGGUAGAGCGCAUCCAUGGUAAGGAUGAGGUCGUGGGUUCGAUUCCCACAGUCGGCACCA